GUGUUGAAAUUGUCUUGUAGGUGGGUAAAUUUCAAAUUCCAAUUCCGUUGUUUGGGGGGCAAAUUCGUAUUUUAAUUGUGUUGUUGGUGGGUCUUUUCUUCGUAAGAGCCCAAAAAUGAGGUAUAAAUUUGUUUUAAAAUGACAUUUUAUGCGUACUUUGCGCGAUCGAAAACGGCAUUUUGGUACGAAAUAAACGAGUCCGAAUGCUAUUCUCACGACGCGGCUAUUCUUACGGUAACACCAUGGAGGCUAUGAGUGUUUCAGACGUGCGCCAGUUUUUGAUGGAGCGUAACCUAAGCUCGCUAACCACGACCUUUGAAGCUCUGACACUUACAUGUAGAAGAAAAUUAGUCUGACAGAAAAUCUGAUUGAUGGCGAAGCAUUGCUUUCUGUGAUGGAAGAUCACAUUUUGUUGAAGGAAUUAAUACCUGAAGUGGGGUUGAGAGCAAAACUGAGGCGUAAAAUAAAAAAGAAGACUUGAGAGUUUUACUGAAUGACAUGAACAAAUACUAAUUUCAAUUGUGUUGUAGGGUGGUGUUGAGUUUAAUCUAAAUGUGGUGCUGGUGGGUCUAUUACCUAUUUUAAUUCUGUUGGUGGGGGGUGUAAAAGCAGUUAAAAUUGUGUUGGUGGUGCCCCAUUUUUGGACUGUCGUUCUUGCCCCCCCAGGCCUUUUUUCCUGGAACAGCCCUGAUCAGAAACAGUGUUUAAAACUGUUUUUGAAAUUUAAGCCUGCUCUCAGUUCCAAAUCAAACGUCAGCACAUAAAAGGCUGAGACACAAUUUUAAAACGUCAUUUGCGACAUGAUGAACGUGUGCAUACAAACUGGAGCGUUUUUCUAAAUAAAGUGUAAUCAAAUGACUUUUAAUUCCAAUUUAAAGCAUAUAAUACAAAGAAAAAUUGUUUGUUUCAGUCUAAGAUAGCAAUAUAUUUCAAAUUGUGAAUACCAAACGUGAAUAUUUCACUCAUGACAACGUCACUCAUGAAAUAUAUAUUUUGGUGCUCACUCGGUGAAAUAUAUUGGGAUUUUAAACUAAAACAAACAAGUAUCCUCCAUGUGUCUGCCAUGCUUCCAGGUGACAUUAUAAAGCCAACUACUGCUUUUACUGUGAUUGACUUGUCCAAAAAUCUAAAACAUACAAAUAUUUAAAUCAAACAACUUCUCAGUC
Molecule: long non-coding RNA, 1166 nt
Organism: Mya arenaria
Lineage: Eukaryota; Metazoa; Mollusca; Bivalvia; Myida; Myidae
Exons: 3
Source: RefSeq, a predicted model, not a curated record